UACGUAGGUGGCAAGCGUUGUCCGGAAUUAUUGGGCGUAAAGCGCGCGCAGGUGGUUCCUUAAGUCUGAUGUGAAAGCCCACGGCUCAACCGUGGAGGGUCAUUGGAAACUGGGGAACUUGAGUGCAGAAGAGGAAAGUGGAAUUCCAAGUGUAGCGGUGAAAUGCGUAGAGAUUUGGAGGAACACCAGGGCGAAGGCGACUUUCUGGUCUGUAACUGACACUGAGGCGCGAAAGCGUGGGGAGCGAACAGG
This 252-nucleotide ribosomal RNA is filed under the name uncultured bacterium. Its description in RNAcentral is "partial 16S ribosomal RNA". It matches the Rfam family "Bacterial small subunit ribosomal RNA", at positions 524 to 776 of the family's 1533-position model. The record is from RNAcentral.